GACGAACGCUGGCGGCGUGCUUAACACAUGCAAGUCGAACGGAAAGGCCCUGCUUUUGUGGGGUGCUCGAGUGGCGAACGGGUGAGUAACACGUGAGUAACCUGCCCUUGACUUUGGGAUAACUUCAGGAAACUGGGGCUAAUACCGGAUAGGAGCUCCUGCUGCAUGGUGGGGGUUGGAAAGUUUCGGCGGGUGGGGAUGGACUCGCGGCUUAUCAGCUUGUUGGUGGGGUAGUGGCUUACCAAGGCUUUGACGGGUAGCCGACCUGAGAGGGUGACCGGCCACAAUGGGACUGAGAUACGGCCCAGACUCCUACGGGGGGCAGCAGUGGGAAAUAUUGCACAAUGGGCGGAAGCCUGAUGCAGCAACGCCGCGUGCGGGAUGACGGCCUUCGGGUUGGAAACCGCUUUCGCCUGUGACGAAGCGUGAGUGACGGUAAUGGGUAAAGAAGCACCGGCUAACUACGUG
This 468-nucleotide ribosomal RNA is filed under the name uncultured bacterium. RNAcentral describes it as "partial 16S ribosomal RNA". It matches the Rfam family "Bacterial small subunit ribosomal RNA", at positions 28 to 507 of the family's 1533-position model. The record is from RNAcentral.